UUAAAAAGCUCGUAGUUGAAUUUCGGGACCAUCAUGUCGGUCGUGCCUCGGUACGUACUGGUAUUGUUGGUUUCUCCCUUCUGACGAACCAUGAUGUCAUUUAUUUGGUGUUGUGGGGAAUCAGGACUGUUACUUUGAAAAAAUUAGAGUGUUUAAAGCAGGCUCACGCUUGAAUACAUUAGCAUGGAAUAAUGAAAUAGGACGUUUGAUUCUAUUUUGUUGGUUUCUAGGAUCGACGUAAUGAUUAAUAGGGAUAGUUGGGGG
This 264-nucleotide ribosomal RNA is filed under the name uncultured Glomeromycotina. RNAcentral describes it as "partial 18S ribosomal RNA". It matches the Rfam family "Eukaryotic small subunit ribosomal RNA", at positions 619 to 888 of the family's 1831-position model. The record is from RNAcentral. Lineage: Eukaryota; Fungi; Glomeromycota.